UACGUAGGGUGCGAGCGUUGUCCGGAAUUAUUGGGCGUAAAGAGCUCGUAGGUGGCGGGUCACGUCGGGUGUGAAAGCCCGGGGCUUAACUCCGGGUCUGCAUUCGAUACGGGUCUGCUGGGGUCCGGCAGGGGAGACUGGAAUUCCUGGUGUAGCGGUGAAAUGCGUAGAGAUCCGGAAGAACACCGGUGGCGAAGGCGGCCCGCUGGGCAACUGCUGACACUGAGGCGCGACAGCGUGGGGAGCAAACAGG
Molecule: ribosomal RNA, 253 nt
Filed under: uncultured bacterium
Lineage: Bacteria
Description: partial 16S ribosomal RNA
Rfam family: Bacterial small subunit ribosomal RNA
Source: RNAcentral